Molecule: long non-coding RNA, 2372 nt
Organism: Alligator mississippiensis (American alligator)
Lineage: Eukaryota; Metazoa; Chordata; Crocodylia; Alligatoridae
Exons: 3
Source: RefSeq, a predicted model, not a curated record
ACAAGGGAUACAAAAGGCUCCAGUCUGCUGCUACCAGUUCAGGCAGAAAUGUUGCCUGGCUAAACUGCAGCAGGAACCUCAGAAGCUUACAGGUGUAACCCUUAAAUGAGAAAUGUUCCCUCGCAUGUGGUGAGAAUGCUUGAAUGCUCCACGAAUCACAGAGAAAACUAAGCUGUGCAGCACAUUUGGUGUAAAAGCAGAGAAAUGGUUUGAGAACAGCCUAAAAAAGGGAUGGGAGGGGGAAGGCGGCAGACAAUUGCGGGAAGAGAAAGGAGAAAGGAAAAUAGAGAAGUUCACCAAGGAAUAUCUUCCUUUUCAGCUUUGCCAUCCCGCUUCCAUCAUCUCCCACAACACUGGGUUGCAAAAGCAUAGAAAAGUUCCAAAUCUGUUCUAACCAGAUAGGCCAUUACUAUGGAUAUUUAUUUGAAAUUACUUCCCAAAAUGAAAUGUUCAUUUAUGAAAAACAUUUUCAUUAUUCAUUUAUUUUAGAAACCCAAAUACAUUAACACUUUUUUUUAAAUUGGGGUUAAUGACUAUGACUCUAGCUCUUAAUUCAGAAACUGAUCUUACUGUAAUCAAAUAAAUGGAAACAGAUUGAUUACAUUGCUGUGAAAGUCAUUAAAAUGUGCUAUCAAUCUGUUUCUGCACACACAUGUUGCAAAGUGCUGAUAAUCCCUGGAAAUAUUCUAAAAGUAAGGGACUUAUUCAGCUCCCACUGAGGUCAGUGGCAAAACUCCCAUGAUCUUCAUUUUUUUUAACAUUCUGUGAUGUUCUAAUAUGGAGUAGGCAACUUGGUCAGGUUCUUUAGCUACAAUUUUGGAAGUUGCAAUCACAUAUUUUAAGUUUCAUCUGGUACCUGGAAAUUAGAAGUAAAAUGACAAACAGUAAUAAGAAAAUGGCAAAAAACAACAUUUUUGACUGGUCUAUACUAGGAGUUAGAGAGUACAAUCUAUUUACAUAUAAAUGUGGCACUGUAGAUAAAACAAUCUGAACAAACACAGAUAGAAUGCCCUGACACCUUUAUUGCUCUGUGUUUGUUAUAUGUAUUUAGUAUGUAGUAUUAAUCUGUUCCUAAAUUUCUGAUGCUGUAAACACACUGAUUUUACUAAAGAGCUAAAAUUGCUUAGUUGGCAACUAUCAAAUGGAGCUCUGCAUGGUGUUUUUAUUAUGUACACAAAUCCCUGUUCAGUUAAAAACAAAAUGGGGAAAUUUGGACAUAGACCUUCAGGACUUACCCAACUUGAUUAUUGUGAAAACUAGUUAUUGUACAACUUUAACCCCUCCAUUUUCAAUAUUUCAGUAUUCAAUCAGCUGUAUUUCACACAGCCGAUUUUACAAACAAAAAAACCCCCAAACCCUUGAUAUCCAUCCUAUUCAAACUUUUUCUAUGAAUGACCACUGUUGCCUGAGUACUUAUUUCAUGAAAAAGGAUUAGCAGAUAAGGUGGGCUUGCAUACGGAUGUCUACAGAUUAUGUUCAUCUUUGCCUUUUAUAGUUUGACAUGUUCUAGUUUGUCAUGUUAUCCCUUAAACAGAUGAUGAUUUAGGAUUCCCCUUUUGAUUUUAGGGAUAGGGGAGAAGAAGAACAUUUUUGUGUUUUUAUUUGACAUUCCAGAAGGGGGAUAACACACGCACUCACUACCCAGGCCUUAUCAGAAAUAUAACUGCAAAAAAGUCAGAUGGAUUUUUAUGAAGAAACAAAAGCUAUAAAUGACUUAAUACGGUAAUAUCAAUCUUGUUAUAUAUUCAGAUUUUAGAGUGUAGACGGCUAUGGCAUGUACGCUAUUUUUAGAACACUGACAUUUUCAAUCAUUUCAAUGCAGACUUUAAAGUAAUACAAUUUAAGCUACCAAUUUUAGAGCUUUCAGUUUGAGUCACAACAAAAUUUAUUUUCUGUCCCUUUGAUAGGGCAAUACACAUUUCCAUACAGAUAAUGCAAAUGGAUGCUUUUGUCACUUGUAAAUAUUUUACAAAUGCUAUUGUCAUUUUAAAAAUAUUUUAUGAUGUAUCAAAAAGUUUUGUAAAACAUUAAGAACAUAUUUACAUAAUGCAAGGUUAAUAUAAUAAAUAAAAAUGAUUAUUUAUACUGUACACAUAAAGAAAAAUUGAAUAAUUAGUGAAUGUAUAGCUAUUACAUACUUUUUAUAAACAUAUGAUAACAUAUAUAUUUAGGCUUAUAAACAUAAAGGUUGGGAACUACUGAGUUCUUUUGGCUAAAACCCAAUAUUGGCCUUAGUUCAGUUUAAUUGGAAGAGGAUCUUGAAUUCAUCUUCUCCAUGAGAUAUCAGGAACCUGGAUUUCUGUUUGUACCAAAGGUUAAUAAGAAAUGUGUCUGCAAAAGUCAAACAGCAUUAAAUACCAAAAACUGAUUAU